ACAUAGUGGACUAUCUCUAAAUUCCACCGAAAUUCUGCUGCUGUACAAAUUCCACGUCCGGUACAAAACUGGUUCAGAAGGCUUCAUUGCCUUUGUGUAAAUCAAACCCGGGUUGACGUUGAGUGGGAUCCAAGACAAGCCUCCCCUCCUGUGUGACAAGCUAAACUUAAAUUCUGCAAUAGUCUGGCACAGCAAACUGGCAGUUUUACUUUAACAUCAUUUAAGUUGAAAAGAUUAAAGAUUUAGAGUGGGAUUGUCCCAAAAAAAAGUGAAAAACUGGAAAAUCAGUGGAAACUGAGGUCCAGAUCCUCUGAAAGUACUUAACUUCCUUUG
Molecule: long non-coding RNA, 333 nt
Organism: Dermochelys coriacea (leatherback sea turtle)
Lineage: Eukaryota; Metazoa; Chordata; Testudines; Dermochelyidae
Exons: 2
Source: RefSeq, a predicted model, not a curated record